GGGAAGGGCCAAGCCAUCCGUGAGAGACCACCCUGGAAGGGCUAAGAUCCUAAACCGAUGCCCUAUGAUAGGCGUUGGAACCGUGCCAGGCAGACAGUUUCUCUGGGGCAGAGGCCUCCCAAAGAGUAAUGGAGGCGUGCAAAGGUUCCCUCAGGCUGGACGGGAAUCAGUUGUAGAGUGUAAAGGCAGAAGGGAGCUUGACUGCAAGACCAACAAGUCGAGCAGGGACGAAAGUCGGCCUUAGUGAUCCGACGGUGCCGCGUGGAAGGGCCGUCGCUUAUCGGAUAAAAGUUACUCUAG
RNAcentral lists this ribosomal RNA (300 nucleotides) under Klebsormidium flaccidum. RNAcentral's name for it is "bacterial LSU rRNA". It matches the Rfam family "Bacterial large subunit ribosomal RNA", at positions 2173 to 2471 of the family's 2925-position model. Lineage: Eukaryota; Viridiplantae; Streptophyta; Klebsormidiophyceae; Klebsormidiales; Klebsormidiaceae. The record is from RNAcentral.